RNAcentral lists this ribosomal RNA (209 nucleotides) under uncultured bacterium. RNAcentral's name for it is "partial 16S ribosomal RNA". It matches the Rfam family "Bacterial small subunit ribosomal RNA", at positions 568 to 774 of the family's 1533-position model. The record is from RNAcentral.
CACGUAGGCGGACUCUUAAGUCAGGGGUGAAAUCCUGGAGCUCAACUCCAGAACUGCCUUUGAUACUGGGAGUCUUGAGUUCGGGAGAGGUGAGUGGAACUGCGAGUGUAGAGGUGAAAUUCGUAGAUAUUCGCAAGAACACCAGUGGCGAAGGCGGCUCACUGGCCCGAUACUGACGCUGAGGUGAGAAAGCGGUGGGGAGACAAACA